RNAcentral lists this transfer RNA (66 nucleotides) under Baltia butleri. RNAcentral describes it as "tRNA-Ala". The record is from RNAcentral. Lineage: Eukaryota; Metazoa; Arthropoda; Insecta; Lepidoptera; Pieridae. RNAcentral also lists the same sequence under 1 other name.
AGGAAAAUAGUUUAAAAAAAACAUUUGAUUUGCAUUCAAAAAAUAUUAAUUAAUUAAUUUAUCUUA